RNAcentral lists this transfer RNA (69 nucleotides) under Prunella fulvescens (Brown accentor). Its description in RNAcentral is "tRNA-Asp". The record is from RNAcentral. Lineage: Eukaryota; Metazoa; Chordata; Aves; Passeriformes; Prunellidae.
GAGGUGUUAGUAAAACAAUUACAUAGUCUUGUCAAGACUAAAUUACAGGUGAAAAUCCAGUACACCUCC